UUACUUGGAUAACUGUGGUAAUUCUAGAGCUAAUACAUGCAAACAGAGCUCCGACCGGAGACGGAAGGAGCGCUUUUAUUAGAUCAAAACCAAUCGGUGGCGUUUUCGUCAUCGUACAAUUUGGUGACUCUGAAUAACUUUUCGCUGAUCGCACGGUCUUGCACCGGCGACGCAUCUUUCAAAUGUCUGCCUUAUCAACUGUCGAUGGUAGGUUCUGCGCCUACCAUGGUUGUAACGGGUAACGGGGAAUCAGGGUUCGAUUCCGGAGAGGGAGCCUGAGAAACGGCUACCACAUCCAAGGAAGGCAGCAGGCGCGCAAAUUACCCACUCCCGGCACGGGGAGGUAGUGACGAAAAAUAACGAUACGGGACUCAUCCGAGGCCCCGUAAUCGGAAUGAGUACACUCUAAACCCUUUAACGAGGAUCAAUUGGAGGGCAAGUCUGGUGCCAGCAGCCGCGGUAAUUCCAGCUCCAAUAGCGUAUAUUAAAGUUGUUGCGGUUAAAAAGCUCGUAGUCGAAUCUGUGUCUCGCGCCGCCGGUUCAUCGUUCGCGGUGUUAACUGGCGUGUCGCGGGACGUCCUGCCGGUGGGCUUAGCCCGCAAGGGCGGCCCAACUCAAUCCCGCCGCGGUGCUCUUCAUUGAGUGUCGAGGUGGGCCGGCACGUUUACUUUGAACAAAUUAGAGUGCUUAAAGCAGGCUAAAACUUUGCCUGAAUACUGUGUGCAUGGAAUAAUGGAAUAGGACCUCGGUUCUAUUUUGUUGGUUUUCGGAACCCCGAGGUAAUGAUUAAUAGG
Molecule: ribosomal RNA, 794 nt
Filed under: Mycetophagus sp. g25
Lineage: Eukaryota; Metazoa; Arthropoda; Insecta; Coleoptera; Mycetophagidae
Description: SSU rRNA
Rfam family: Eukaryotic small subunit ribosomal RNA
Source: RNAcentral